CGUGCCUACGGGGGGCAGCAGUGGGGAAUAUUGCACAAUGGGCGAAAGCCUGAUGCAGCAACGCCGCGUGAAGGAAGACGGUUUUCGGGUUGUAAACUUCUGUUCUUAGUGAAGAAUAAUGACGGUAACUAAGGAGCAAGCCACGGCUAACUACGUGCCAGCAGCCGCGGUAAUACGUAGGAUGCGAGCGUUAUCCGGAUUUAUUGGGUUUAAAGGGUGCGCAGGCGGGCUGUUAAGCCGGCGGUAAAAAUUCAGGGCUCAACCCUGUCGAGCCGUCGGAAAUGGCAGUCUUGAGUGGGCGGGAA
RNAcentral lists this ribosomal RNA (305 nucleotides) under uncultured bacterium. Its description in RNAcentral is "bacterial SSU rRNA". It matches the Rfam family "Bacterial small subunit ribosomal RNA", at positions 334 to 656 of the family's 1533-position model. The record is from RNAcentral.